This 478-nucleotide ribosomal RNA is filed under the name uncultured bacterium. RNAcentral's name for it is "partial 16S ribosomal RNA". It matches the Rfam family "Bacterial small subunit ribosomal RNA", at positions 28 to 507 of the family's 1533-position model. The record is from RNAcentral.
GAUGAACGCUGGCGGCGUGCUUAACACAUGCAAGUCGAACGAGAAGUGAAGACGGAAACCUUCGGGCGGAAGGCUUUAUUUCGAGUGGCGGACAGGUGAGUAACGCGUGGGUAACCUGCCUCAUACAGGGGGAUAACAGUUGGAAACGACUGUUAAUACCGCAUAAGACCACAGCACCGCAUGGUGCGGGGGUAAAAACUCCGGUGGUAUGAGAUGGACCCGCGUUCGAUUAGCCAGUUGGCGGGGUAACGGCCCACCAAAGCGACGAUCGAUAGCCGAUCUGAGAGCAUGACCGGCCACAUUGGGACUGAGACACGGCCCAGACUCCUACGGGAGGCAGCGGUGGGGAAUAUUACACAAUGGAGGAAACCCUGAUGAAGCGACGCCGCGUGAGUGAAGAAGUAUUUCGGUAUGUAAAGCUCUAUCAGCAGGGAAGAAAAUGACGGUACCUGAGUAAGAAGCCCCGGCUAACUACGUG